UGGAGUAACCUUUUAGGAGCUAGCCGUCGAAGGUGGGACAAAUGAUUGGGGUGAAGUCGUAACAAGGUAGCCGUAUCGGAAGGUGCGGCUGGAUCACCUCCUUUCUAAGGA
Molecule: ribosomal RNA, 111 nt
Filed under: Staphylococcus aureus
Lineage: Bacteria; Bacillati; Bacillota; Bacilli; Caryophanales; Staphylococcaceae
Description: partial 16S ribosomal RNA
Rfam family: Bacterial small subunit ribosomal RNA
Source: RNAcentral